GGUUAAGUGACUAAGCGUACACGGUGGAUGCCUGGGCAGUCAGAGGCGAUGAAGGACGUACUAACUUGCGAUAAGCGCAGAUAAGGCAGUAAGAGCCGUUUGAGUCUGCGAUUUCCGAAUGGGGAAACCCAACUGCAUAAGCAGUUACUGUUAACUGAAUACAUAGGUUAACAGAGCAAACCGGGGGAACUGAAACAUCUAAGUACCCCGAGGAGAAGAAAUCAACCGAGAUUCCGGUAGUAGCGGCGAGCGAACCUGGAUUAGCCCUUAAGCACUCGGUGAAGUAGGUGAACAAGCUGGAAAGCUUGGCGAUACAGGGUGAUAGCCCCGUAACCGACGCUUCAUCGAGCGUGAAAUCGAGUAGGGCGGGACACGUGAUAUCCUGUCUGAAUAUGGGGGGACCAUCCUCCAAGGCUAAAUACUCCUGACUGACCGAUAGUGAACCAGUACCGUGAGGGAAAGGCGAAAAGAACCCCUGUGAGGGGAGUGAAAUAGAACCUGAAACCGUGUACGUACAAGCAGUAGGAGCACCUUCGUGGUGUGACUGCGUACCUUUUGUAUAAUGGGUCAGCGACUUAUAUUCAGUGGCAAGGUUAACCGUAUAGGGGAGCCGUAGCGAAAGCGAGUCUUAACUGGGCGCUCAGUCUCUGGAUAUAGACCCGAAACCGGGUGAUCUAGCCAUGGGCAGGUUGAAGGUUGAGUAACAUCAACUGGAGGACCGAACCGACUAAUGUUGAAAAAUUAGCGGAUGACUUGUGGCUAGGGGUGAAAGGCCAAUCAAACUCGGAGAUAGCUGGUUCUCCCCGAAAGCUAUUUAGGUAGCGCCUCGGACGAAUACUACUGGGGGUAGAGCACUGUUAAGGCUAGGGGGUCAUCCCGACUUACCAACCCUUUGCAAACUCCGAAUACCAGUAAGUACUAUCCGGGAGACACACGGCGGGUGCUAACGUCCGUCGUGGAGAGGGAAACAACCCAGACCGCCAGCUAAGGUCCCAAAGUAUUGCUAAGUGGGAAACGAUGUGGGAAGGCUCAGACAGCUAGGAUGUUGGCUUAGAAGCAGCCAUCAUUUAAAGAAAGCGUAAUAGCUCACUAGUCGAGUCGGCCUGCGCGGAAGAUGUAACGGGGCUAAGCAAUACACCGAAGCUGCGGCAAUAUCUUUUAGAUAUUGGGUAGGGGAGCGUUCUGUAAGCCGUUGAAGGUGGAUCGUAAGGUUUGCUGGAGGUAUCAGAAGUGCGAAUGCUGACAUGAGUAACGACAAAGGGGGUGAAAAACCUCCUCGCCGGAAGACCAAGGGUUCCUGUCCAACGUUAAUCGGGGCAGGGUGAGUCGACCCCUAAGGUGAGGCCGAAAGGCGUAAUCGAUGGGAAACGGGUUAAUAUUCCCGUACUUCUGACUAUUGCGAUGGGGGGACGGAGAAGGCUAGGUGGGCCAGGCGACGGUUGUCCUGGUUCAAGUGCGUAGGCUUGAGAGUUAGGUAAAUCCGGCUCUCUCUAAGGCUGAGACACGACGUCGAGCUGCUACGGCAGUGAAGUCAUUGAUGCCAUGCUUCCAGGAAAAGCCUCUAAGCUUCAGAUAGUCAGGAAUCGUACCCCAAACCGACACAGGUGGUCGGGUAGAGAAUACCAAGGCGCUUGAGAGAACUCGGGUGAAGGAACUAGGCAAAAUGGUACCGUAACUUCGGGAGAAGGUACGCUCUUGAUGGUGAAGUCCCUCGCGGAUGGAGCUGACGAGAGUCGCAGAUACCAGGUGGCUGCAACUGUUUAUUAAAAACACAGCACUGUGCAAAAUCGCAAGAUGACGUAUACGGUGUGACGCCUGCCCGGUGCCGGAAGGUUAAUUGAUGGGGUUAGCGCAAGCGAAGCUCUUGAUCGAAGCCCCGGUAAACGGCGGCCGUAACUAUAACGGUCCUAAGGUAGCGAAAUUCCUUGUCGGGUAAGUUCCGACCUGCACGAAUGGCGUAAUGAUGGCCACGCUGUCUCCACCCGAGACUCAGUGAAAUUGAAAUCGCUGUGAAGAUGCAGUGUACCCGCGGCUAGACGGAAAGACCCCGUGAACCUUUACUACAGCUUGGCACUGAACAUUGAACCUACAUGUGUAGGAUAGGUGGGAGGCUAUGAAGACGUGACGCCAGUUGCGUUGGAGCCGUCCUUGAAAUACCACCCUUGUAUGUUUGAUGUUCUAACUUAGACCCAUUAUCUGGGUUGAGGACAGUGCCUGGUGGGUAGUUUGACUGGGGCGGUCUCCUCCCAAAGAGUAACGGAGGAGCACGAAGGUGGGCUAAUCACGGUUGGACAUCGUGAGGUUAGUGCAAUGGCAUAAGCCCGCUUAACUGCGAGAAUGACGGUUCGAGCAGGUGCGAAAGCAGGUCAUAGUGAUCCGGUGGUUCUGUAUGGAAGGGCCAUCGCUCAACGGAUAAAAGGUACUCCGGGGAUAACAGGCUGAUACCGCCCAAGAGUUCAUAUCGACGGCGGUGUUUGGCACCUCGAUGUCGGCUCAUCACAUCCUGGGGCUGAAGUCGGUCCCAAGGGUAUGGCUGUUCGCCAUUUAAAGUGGUACGCGAGCUGGGUUUAGAACGUCGUGAGACAGUUCGGUCCCUAUCUGCCGUGGGCGUUGGAAGAUUGAAGGGGGCUGCUCCUAGUACGAGAGGACCGGAGUGGACGAACCUCUGGUGUUCGGGUUGUGUCGCCAGACGCAUUGCCCGGUAGCUAAGUUCGGAAUUGAUAAGCGCUGAAAGCAUCUAAGC
RNAcentral lists this ribosomal RNA (2743 nucleotides) under Vibrio cholerae. RNAcentral describes it as "partial 23S ribosomal RNA". It matches the Rfam family "Bacterial large subunit ribosomal RNA". Lineage: Bacteria; Pseudomonadati; Pseudomonadota; Gammaproteobacteria; Vibrionales; Vibrionaceae. The record is from RNAcentral.